Long non-coding RNA from Hypanus sabinus (Atlantic stingray), 1135 nucleotides. RefSeq lists it as uncharacterized. The transcript is spliced from 4 exons. Lineage: Eukaryota; Metazoa; Chordata; Chondrichthyes; Myliobatiformes; Dasyatidae. The record is from RefSeq and is a predicted model, not a curated record.
GUUUAUGCAGAAGAAAUGCUGCAUCACAAAUCAGGAAUCUCUCCCAAAAAUAAAGUUCCCCGAGUGAACUGUCCCUUUCUUGAUUCAGAGAGGCCGCUGUGAGUUGGAAGAUGUAUUAAAAGUUACAACUCACUUCAGUGGAAACUCACUCAAUUGUCAUUGUGGGUGAGCAUCAUGUCACUUCCCUACUCAUUAGACAUUACCACAAGCAAGUAUGCCAUCAAAGCCGGCAUUUUUGAAGUGAUAAUAGUAAGAAGUUUGGAUUUGUUUUGAAGCAUGAUGGAAAGACACAUAUCUUCAACCACAAUUUGCACUUGAUACAGCAAUAUCUGGAGCAGUGUCUCAGAAAGGCAGCAUUCAUUAUUAAGGACCUCCAGCACCCAGGGCAUGCCCUUUUCUCACUGUUACCAACAGGUAGGAGGUACAGAAGCCUUUAGGUACACACUCAGCAAUUCAGGAACAGCUUCUUCCCCUCUGCCAUCCAAUUCCUAAAUGGACAUUGAAGUUACAGACUAGAAAAACUUAAAACGACGGACAGCUGUUGGCUCUCGCACAGGAGAACUUAAAAGUAAAAAAAAACAAAUACCGGAGAGUACGGAGGCAACUGACAGGGAGUUCACGGACAGAUUGACCCAGCUGAUGACGCACAUUGAAAAACUGACUAACUCUGUUGCAUUAAUAAAGCACCUUGUUAAAUGUAUAAAUGCUUUAAUGUCUGUAUCAGUGUUAUCUUGUAUUUCCAUACAAUGUUACAUUAGGCUGUUACACAUCUAUUGUCAGAGAGGUACUUGCAUAAAGAUGAAAUAGUGGCUUAUCUAGAUAGCAGUGGUAGGAUUGGGCCGAGCCAGCAUGGAUUUACCAAGGGCAAAUCAUGCUUGACUAAUCUAUUUGAGUUUUUCGAGGAUGCAACCAGGAAGUUAGACAAGGGAGAUCCAGUGGAUGUAGUGUACCUCGAUUUUCAGAAGGCAUUUGAUAAGGUCCCACAUAGGAGAUUGGUGGGUAAAAUCAGAGCUCAUGGCAUUGGGGGGAAGAUAUUGACAUGGAUAGAAAACUGGUUAGCAGAUAGAAAGCAAAGGGUAACAGUGAAUGGGUGUUUCUCGGAAUGGCAGGUGGUGACUAGUGGGGUGCCACAGGG